UAUUGAAAGUUUCAUUCAUUUUUACUAUUAAAAAUUGUCGUGGCUGAUAAAAUAACCAGACAUACCUCAUUUUGACGAUCAAUGAUCAGAUUUUAACAGUAGAAAUGGAUGGAAUUUUGAACA
Molecule: microRNA precursor, 123 nt
Filed under: Gossypium barbadense (sea-island cotton)
Lineage: Eukaryota; Viridiplantae; Streptophyta; Magnoliopsida; Malvales; Malvaceae
Also listed under: 1 other name
Description: MIR7502 microRNA precursor family
Rfam family: MIR7502 microRNA precursor family
Source: Rfam by way of RNAcentral